GUCUACGGCCAUGCUACCCUGAAUAAGCCUGAUCCCGUCUGAUCUCAGAAGCUGAGCAGGGUUGGACCUGGUUAGUACUUGGAUGGGAGACUACCAUGAAGACCAGGUGCUGUAGGUG
This 118-nucleotide ribosomal RNA is filed under the name Pteropus alecto (black flying fox). Lineage: Eukaryota; Metazoa; Chordata; Mammalia; Chiroptera; Pteropodidae. The record is from RNAcentral.